UGGGCUCCCUUGCCUGAGAAGGCUGGGGGUUCUAGGCUGAACUCAGGUCUUCUCAGAAUUCUUUUUCUAACUGAAUCUCUGAACUUUUUACUGGACAAAAUAUCUCUGAGACCCUCUGCUGUGUCCCGUGGGUCUCUCCAUCCAAAGUCAACAAACAGACACCAUCAAACUCACUUCCACUCUUUGAUCAAAUCACCUAGAGGAACUGCAUCUCCCCAAGGCUGGUCUGUUUCCUCCAAGGAAAAGCCAGUUGAGACAUCUCCAAGCACUCAGAGCCUCUGAUUUCCACAGAGGGUGGCAGAGGAGCCCAGCACCACCAAAUCCAUUUCAGAAGUGGUAUAACAGGGCACUCAGCAAGACUUGGCUCAAGAAGACCCAAAAGGAAGAUCCAUGAGCCCUCCAUGCAUCCCAGGCCUGCAGAGACCAGUGGAGGUUCCAGUAAAAGGUCUGAAGCCUGUGCUCUUUAAGUAAGGGUUUAUCUUAGCCCUUCCCCAGAACAGACGAGGCCUCCAAAGCUGAGGAUAAGUGAGGUUGGAGACCCCAAAGCUCUUUGGAAGGAAAAACACUAGAGAAUCAGAUGGACGGUCGAGGUGGCCCUCAGGGGAGAAAAGGAACCCUCCUAAGGGUCAUUUUUGGAGAAUUUAGGACCGACAUCAGGAAAAUGUUCCAGAAAAGCACAGCCCGUAACUGAUGCUGGAGAAAAAGUAUGAUGUGGAAAAUCAGGAACCAUGUAUUGUAAUUACAGAGAGAAGAAAGUAUGAAAUCUCUGGCCAACUCAAACAGCUAUAUCUGCCUCUCUGUGCCAGUUCUCUUGUGUUGUGCUGAGCUGUGUUUCCUUUUCUUC
Molecule: long non-coding RNA, 844 nt
Organism: Phascolarctos cinereus (koala)
Lineage: Eukaryota; Metazoa; Chordata; Mammalia; Diprotodontia; Phascolarctidae
Source: RefSeq, a predicted model, not a curated record